GGGGGGUAAUUAAUAAUUUAAUUAUUAAUAAAAGAAUUUUUAAUAUGGGAUAUUUUAAUGGGGGUUAAAGUAUUUUUAUGGAAAAAAUUGAAAAGUUUAUAGUUUAUUUGUAUUGUGGGGGAAUUUUGAAAUAAUAUGAAAAAGAAUUAUUUUAAAAGUAAAUUUUAAUUAUUGUAUCUUGUGUAUCAGAGUUUAUUAAAAAUAGUUUAUUUAUUUAAAUAUCUCGAAUUUAAAAGAGUUAAUUAAUUAAUAAUAGUUAUUGUGGUAUAAAUAUUUUUAAUAAUUAAUUAGAAGUGAAAUGUUAUUCGUUUUUAAAUAUAUCUAGUUUUUAUAGAAAAAAAUUUAAUUUUUUAUUAAUAAAAAUUUUUAUUAAUUUAUAAUUAAUAAAAAUUAUUUUUAAUAAAAUAAUUUAAGGGAUAAUCUUUAAAUUAAAUUUUUAUAAUAAUUUUAAGUUUAAAUUAAAAUUUAUAUAAUUUAUAUUUUUAAUAAAUUUUAAUUUGUUAUAAAUAAUUUUGUUUAAAAUAAAAAUUUAAUUUUUAUUUAAUUUUUUAUAUAAAAAUAAAUUUCAAUAAAAAAAAUUAAAUUAUAAUGAUAAAAUUAGUAAAAUUUAUUUAUUGUGUAAAAAUUUAAUUUAAAAUUUUAAUUAUUUAAAAGGAAUUCGGCAAAAUUUUAUAUUCACUUGUUUAUCAAAAACAUGUCUUUUUGUUAAUAAUUUAAAGUCUAAUCUGCCCACUGAUUUUGGGAUUGAAGGGCUGCAGUAUUUUGACUGUACAAAGGUAGCAUAAUCAUUAGUCUUUUAAUUGAUGACUUGUAUGAAGGAUUGGAUGAAAUAUAUACUGUCUCUUAAAUAAUAGUAAAAUUGAAUUUAAUUUUUUAAUUAAAAAGUUAAAAUUUAUUAAAAAGACGAGAAGACCCUAUAGAGUUUUAUAUUUUAUUUUAUUAAAAUUUUUUUUUUAAGAUUUUAAAUAAUUAUAGAUUAUUUUAUUGGGGUGAUGAAAAAAUUUAAUUAACUUUUUUUAAUUUAUACCAUAGAUAAGUGAUUUAAUGAUCCAAUUUUAUUGAUUAUAAGAAAAAAUUACCUUAGGGAUAACAGCGUAAUUUUUUUUUUUAGUUCGAAUAAAAAAAAAAGUUUGCGACCUCGAUGUUGGAUUAAGAUAAAAGUUAAAUGUAGACGUUUAAAUUUUUGAUCUGUUCGAUCAUUAAAAUCUUACAUGAUCUGAGUUCAAACCGGUGUAAGCCAGGUUGGUUUCUAUCUUUUAAUAUUAAAAAUAUUUUAGUACGAAAGGAUUAAAUAUUACAAUUAUAUUGAAAUUAAUGAAUAUUAUUAAGGUUUAUUUAAAUUAUUUAUUUUAUAGGUGUG
Molecule: ribosomal RNA, 1360 nt
Filed under: Rotunda rotundapex
Lineage: Eukaryota; Metazoa; Arthropoda; Insecta; Lepidoptera; Bombycidae
Description: 16S ribosomal RNA
Source: RNAcentral